RNAcentral lists this ribosomal RNA (315 nucleotides) under uncultured eukaryote. Its description in RNAcentral is "partial 18S ribosomal RNA". It matches the Rfam family "Eukaryotic small subunit ribosomal RNA", at positions 1470 to 1796 of the family's 1831-position model. The record is from RNAcentral.
CCCUUAGACGUUCUGGGCCGCACGCGCGCUACACUGACCAGUGCAACAAGCAUCCGUCCUUGGCCGACAGGCUCGGGCAAUCUUUGAACGCUGGUCGUGAUGGGGAUAGACUUUUGCAAUUUUUGGUCUUCAACGAGGAAUUCCUAGUAAACGCAAGUCAUCAACUUGCAUUGAUUACGUCCCUGCCCUUUGUACACACCGCCCGUCGCACCUACCGAUUGAAUGGUCCGGUGAAGCCUCCGGAUUGGCGCGCACCUCGGUGCCGCCGAGAAGUGGGCUAAACCUUACCAUUUAGAGGAAGGUGAAGUCGUAACA